Molecule: long non-coding RNA, 1178 nt
Organism: Pelmatolapia mariae (spotted tilapia)
Lineage: Eukaryota; Metazoa; Chordata; Actinopteri; Cichliformes; Cichlidae
Exons: 4
Source: RefSeq, a predicted model, not a curated record
GCAAAAAUUCACCUGCAAAAAUUCAACUGCAAAAAUUCACCUGCAAAAGUGAUGACCUUAAAUGACCCAAGCCAGAGCAAUCAGCACUAGAUCGAGUCGAGCGGCUCUCAGCCAAUUAAAUUACGCUGUUUGAUCACAUGACAUGUUAGCCGGCAGUGUCUUCUGAAAAGAGAGCUGUUUAGAGGUGAGUGAUUAAGUUUUUCUCCUAAAUAGAGAUCAUUACAGAACGCCUAGUCCUACUUAAAAUACCAUUCAUUUUUCUUUUAUUUUAUCAUCUACUCGAACUGAGGAAAACGUUUGACUAACUCAAAGAAAAGUUCCGCGCCUCCCCUGCCUGUCUGCAGAGGCAGUUUUGAAUUCAGGAGCGGCAUGAUGGCAGCGGCAAACCCUGGCGGUUCUCCGGGUUCGUGGCAACCACGGAUGGGAAAAUGUGGAGGUUGCACGGCUGAUGUUUACUGUUCGUGGCACAGGAAGAGGCAGUUUCAUUUCAGGAAUGAGUGUGCACAAUCAAAGAAUAGAGCGACUGUGGAGAGACCUCUGGGUGGCCGUUACAUGCAUUUACUACGAUGUUCUUCACAACCCUGAGGAAGAAGGCCUUCUUGACAUUUCAAAUGCUGCACACCUCUUUUGCUGCGAUUACAUCUUUCUUCCUCGACUAGAGGAUAAUUUUAAUACAUUUUGCAGUGGAUGGGACAACCAUCCACUGCGAACAGAAAACAACAUGAGUCCCCCAACCAGCUGUGGGAGUUGGGUCACAGAUAUUACCCUGUUCCUGUUCCAGAAAACACACAGCUUAUCACACAUUUGAUUUCCAUGUGUGACGACUGCAAGUGUCCAGAGUGAGGACAGACUGAGGGACCCACUGCUGCACAUCAUCUGUGAGGCUUUGCACCCCUGAUGAUCCACCAGGACACACUCAGCAGUGUGUGAGGAAGAGGAGGAGGAAGAGCCAGCAGCAGCUGACAGAUGGAGAGAAUAGACAGACUGUUCCCUGUUUGUGAAGGACUGCUAGAAAAGUUUAAAAUAACUAAUUGUCUGUCCUGAAUCAGUCUUAUUAGGUAAUGUUCAAAUAAUGUUAUCAUUCCAGUGUUUUCAGUGUGGGAGAAAGUACUCAGGGCCUUCAAGUUACACACUAUGAAAGGCAGCAACAAGUUUAAUGUUCAGAAACCUAAAGUAUG